AAUGAACGCUGGCGGCAUGCCUAACACAUGCAAGUCGAACGAUGCCUUCGGGCAUAGUGGCGCACGGGUGCGUAACGCGUGGGAAUCUGCCUUUCGGUUCGGAAUAACUCAGGGAAACUUGAGCUAAUACCGGAUAACGUCGCAAGACCAAAGAUUUAUCACCGAAAGAUGAGCCCGCGUAGGAUUAGCUAGUUGGUGAGGUAAAGGCUCACCAAGGCGACGAUCCUUAGCUGGUCUGAGAGGAUGAUCAGCCACACUGGGACUGAGACACGGCCCAGACUCCUACGGGAGGCAGCAGUGGGGAAUAUUGGACAAUGGGCGAAAGCCUGAUCCAGCAAUGCCGCGUGAGUGAUGAAGGCCUUAGGGUUGUAAAGCUCCUUUACCCGGGAAGAUAAUGACGGUACCGGGAGAAUAAGCCCCGGCUAACUCCGUG
RNAcentral lists this ribosomal RNA (433 nucleotides) under uncultured bacterium. RNAcentral's name for it is "partial 16S ribosomal RNA". It matches the Rfam family "Bacterial small subunit ribosomal RNA", at positions 29 to 507 of the family's 1533-position model. The record is from RNAcentral.